RNAcentral lists this ribosomal RNA (1339 nucleotides) under Arthrobacter globiformis. RNAcentral describes it as "16S ribosomal RNA". It matches the Rfam family "Bacterial small subunit ribosomal RNA", at positions 41 to 1392 of the family's 1533-position model. The record is from RNAcentral. Lineage: Bacteria; Bacillati; Actinomycetota; Actinomycetes; Micrococcales; Micrococcaceae.
GGCGUGCUUACACAUGCAGUCGAACGAUGACCCGGUGCUUGCACUGGUGAUUAGUGGCGAACGGGUGAGUAACACGUGAGUAACCUGCCCUUGACUCUGGGAUAAGCCUGGGAAACUGGGUCUAAUACCGGAUAUGACCUUCCAUCGCAUGGUGGUUGGUGGAAAGCUUUUGUGGUUUUGGAUGGACUCGCGGCCUAUCAGCUUGUUGGUGAGGUAAUGGCUUACCAAGGCGACGACGGGUAGCCGGCCUGAGAGGGUGACCGGCCACACUGGGACUGAGACACGGCCCAGACUCCUACGGGAGGCAGCAGUGGGGAAUAUUGCACAAUGGGCGGAAGCCUGAUGCAGCGACGCCGCGUGAGGGAUGACGGCCUUCGGGUUGUAAACCUCUUUCAGUAGGGAAGAAGCGAAAGUGACGGUACCUGCAGAAGAAGCGCCGGCUAACUACGUGCCAGCAGCCGCGGUAAUACGUAGGGCGCAAGCGUUAUCCGGAAUUAUUGGGCGUAAAGAGCUCGUAGGCGGUUUGUCGCGUCUGCCGUGAAAGUCCGGGGCUCAACUCCGGAUCUGCGGUGGGUACGGGCAGACUAGAGUGAUGUAGGGGAGACUGGAAUUCCUGGUGUAGCGGUGAAAUGCGCAGAUAUCAGGAGGAACACCGAUGGCGAAGGCAGGUCUCUGGGCAUUAACUGACGCUGAGGAGCGAAAGCAUGGGGAGCGAACAGGAUUAGAUACCCUGGUAGUCCAUGCCGUAAACGUUGGGCACUAGGUGUGGGGGACAUUCCACGUUUUCCGCGCCGUAGCUAACGCAUUAAGUGCCCCGCCUGGGGAGUACGGCCGCAAGGCUAAAACUCAAAGGAAUUGACGGGGGCCCGCACAAGCGGCGGAGCAUGCGGAUUAAUUCGAUGCAACGCGAAGAACCUUACCAAGGCUUGACAUGGACCGGACCGCCGCAGAAAUGUGGUUUCCCCUUUGGGGCUGGUUUACAGGUGGUGCAUGGUUGUCGUCAGCUCGUGUCGUGAGAUGUUGGGUUAAGUCCCGCAACGAGCGCAACCCUCGUUCUAUGUUGCCAGCACGUGAUGGUGGGGACUCAUAGGAGACUGCCGGGGUCAACUCGGAGGAAGGUGGGGACGACGUCAAAUCAUCAUGCCCCUUAUGUCUUGGGCUUCACGCAUGCUACAAUGGCCGGUACAAAGGGUUGCGAUACUGUGAGGUGGAGCUAAUCCCAAAAAGCCGGUCUCAGUUCGGAUUGGGGUCUGCAACUCGACCCCAUGAAGUCGGAGUCGCUAGUAAUCGCAGAUCAGCAACGCUGCGGUGAAUACGUUCCCGGGUCUUUAACACACCG